AGUGAACGCUGGCGGUAGGCCUAACACAUGCAAGUCGAACGGCAGCACAGUCAGAGCUUGCUCUUACGGAUGGCGAGUUGCGGACGUGUGAGGAAUACAUCGGAAUCUCCUUUUUCGUGGGGCAUAACGUAGGUAAACUUACACUAAUACCGCAUACGCGCUACGGGUGAAAGCAGGGGCUCUUCAGACCUUGCGCGAUGGAAUGAGCCGAUGUCGGAGUAGCUAGUUGGCGGGGUAAAGGCCCACCAAGUCGGCGAGCCGUAGCUGGUCCGAGAGGAUGACCAGCAACACGGGAGAGGAGACAAGGAGCAAAAGCCAACGGGAGGCACGAGUGCGGAAUAUAGGACAAGGGGCGGAAGCCUGAUCCAGCCAUACCGCGUGGGUGAAGAAGGCCUUCGGGGUGUAAAGCCCUUUUGUUGGGAAAGAAAAGCAGCAGGUUAAUACCCAGCUGUUCUGACGGUACCCAAAGAAUAAGCACCGGCUAACUUCGUG
This 492-nucleotide ribosomal RNA is filed under the name uncultured bacterium. RNAcentral describes it as "partial 16S ribosomal RNA". It matches the Rfam family "Bacterial small subunit ribosomal RNA", at positions 29 to 507 of the family's 1533-position model. The record is from RNAcentral.